UCUAACAUGAAGCCUUAUCUCCAGCCAGCCUAAAACUUUGUUAAUUUGAUGGCUCACUUUCGUUGUUUCAUGUAAUUCCAAAUGUUCAUGUGCCAAAGAACAUAUAAAUGAAUUAACGAACACAUUGUCGAGUACCCAACUCCAGAAUAUGAUGCUUCACUUAUAAUUUGAAUACACCACAAGAUUUUUACUCUGUACAUUCCUUUUAGGAUUAUUGUAUUCCAGCCAUCUGGUGUGUAUAUAGUGAUAAAGAUUGAUAAUAUUGUUUUCUGCAUUUCUGCAUUGAAGGUUUAUCUGUGGCUAUCGUCUUAAACAAGCACCAGUGAUAUCAGUGAACCAUGGUGCUUCUGCUAGGGAGUGAUAUGAGCUCAUGCUUCCUUGCUGACUCUCUAUUCAUGUCGAUUUGAUGUCAGGUGCAGGUCAUCAUAUGCUCACAAUCAGAAGACUGGAUAGCAGCGAAGCUCUCAGACGUUCAUCCAUCUUGCUACCCUCUAUUCAGUAUGGCAUGGUUACCCAGCAGUAAUGGAAGAUUAACGUACGUGCCUUGGACCACAAAUAAGCUGGCGUCUGAAGAUGAUGUAUUCUGCAACCUGUUGUCCUCUUCGCAUGGACUUGGCACACUCCUGUCUCUCGGGCAUCUUAGCAUGAAAAGCUUUCUUAUGCCUUCCAUGGAUAAUUGGA
Lolium rigidum is the source of this 681-nucleotide long non-coding RNA. RefSeq lists it as uncharacterized. Lineage: Eukaryota; Viridiplantae; Streptophyta; Magnoliopsida; Poales; Poaceae. The record is from RefSeq and is a predicted model, not a curated record. The transcript has 3 exons.